RNAcentral lists this long non-coding RNA (427 nucleotides) under Aquilegia coerulea. RNAcentral describes it as "long non-coding RNA (ACOE_LNC002277)". The record is from RNAcentral. Lineage: Eukaryota; Viridiplantae; Streptophyta; Magnoliopsida; Ranunculales; Ranunculaceae.
UUUUAUAGCCGAUAAAUCAAACAAAUUGAUGGAAUCAAACCAUUACAAUAUGAAUCACGAAGAACUGAUAAAUCAAACAAAUCGAUUGUGACGAACCUUCUGUGGCUAUUAAUCACGAAGAACCUUCUGCCGCUGUUAAUCACGAAGAACAUUCCAUAGCUGGUGGAGAGAAGUGUUGAUCGAAUGAAUUGAGAGUUUUGAACUUUGAAGUCGAAGAGAGGGAAAGAUAGGUGUGAAAUCGAAGAGAGGGAAAGAUAGGUGUGAAAUCGAAGAGAGAGAUGUGUGAAGUCGAAGAGAGAGAAAGAGAGGUGUGAAAGUGAAACUGGGAAUCGAUAGGUGUGAAAGUGAAACUGUGAGAGAUAUGUUCUGUCAUGUCAAGUCGAAGAGAGAGAAAGAUAGGGUUAUGUUACAUUGGGCCACAACAACA